This 253-nucleotide ribosomal RNA is filed under the name uncultured bacterium. Its description in RNAcentral is "partial 16S ribosomal RNA". It matches the Rfam family "Bacterial small subunit ribosomal RNA", at positions 524 to 776 of the family's 1533-position model. The record is from RNAcentral.
UACGUAGGGUGCGAGCGUUAAUCGGAAUUACUGGGCGUAAAGCGUGCGCAGGCGGGCUUUUACGGCAGACGUGAAAUCCCCGGGCUUAACCUGGGAAUGGCGUUUGGGACUGGAAGUCUGGAGUGCGGCAGAGGAGACUGGAAUUCCUGGUGUAGCAGUGAAAUGCGUAGAUAUCAGGAGGAACACCGAUGGCGAAGGCAGGUCUCUGGGCUGACACUGACGCUCAUGCACGAAAGCGUGGGGAGCAAACAGG